UGGCUUAGAUGGUAAAGCGUCUGCCCGCAAUGCAGGAGACCUGGGUUCGAUCCCAG
Molecule: transfer RNA, 56 nt
Filed under: Odocoileus virginianus texanus
Lineage: Eukaryota; Metazoa; Chordata; Mammalia; Artiodactyla; Cervidae
Also listed under: 1 other name
Rfam family: tRNA
About the family: Transfer RNA (tRNA) molecules are approximately 80 nucleotides in length. Their secondary structure includes four short double-helical elements and three loops (D, anti-codon, and T loops).
Source: Rfam by way of RNAcentral